Molecule: ribosomal RNA, 960 nt
Organism: Tetraodon nigroviridis (spotted green pufferfish)
Lineage: Eukaryota; Metazoa; Chordata; Actinopteri; Tetraodontiformes; Tetraodontidae
Rfam family: Bacterial small subunit ribosomal RNA
Source: Rfam
AGGCACAAAGGCUUGGUCCUGACUUUACUAACAGCUCUAGCCAAACUUACACAUGCAAGUAUCCGCACCCCCGUGAGAAUGCCCUACACACCCUGCCCGGGAAUUAGGAGCCGGUAUCAGGCACACCCCUAGUAGCCCAUGACGCCUUGCUUAGCCACACCCCCAAGGGAACUCAGCAGUGAUAAACAUUAAGCCAUAAGUGAAAACUUGACUUAGCUACGGCUUAGAGGGCCGGUAAAACUCGUGCCAGCCACCGCGGUUAUACGAGAGGCCCAAGUUGUUAGCCCCCGGCGUAAAGAGUGGUUAAAACACCAAACACCAAACUGAGGCCGAACGCCCUCAAAGCAGUUAUACGCUCCCGAGGACAUGAAGGACAAUUACGAAGGUAGCCUCACCCCCUUUGAACCCACGAAAGCUAGGGUACAAACUGGGAUUAGAUACCCCACUAUGCCUAGCCCUAAACAAUGAUAUUCUAAUACAUUCCUUAUCCGCCCGGGUACUACGAGCAUUAGCUUAAAACCCAAAGGACUUGGCGGUGCUUUAAACCCAUCUAGAGGAGCCUGUUCUAGAACCGAUAAUCCCCGUUAAACCUCACCCCUCCUUGUCUAAUCCGCCUAUAUACCACCGUCGUCAGCCUACCCUGUGAAGGACUAACAGUAGGCAAAGUUGGCACAGCCCAAAACGUCAGGUCGAGGUGUAGCGUAUGGAGGGGGAAGAAAUGGGCUACAUUCUCUGCCCAGAGAACCACGAAUGACAUAAUGAAACACAUGUCUGAAGGAGGAUUUAGCAGUAAGUAAAGAAACAGAGUGUCUUACUGAAACCGGCCAUGAAGCGCGCACACACCGCCCGUCACUCUCCCCAAAUCAAACCCACCAAUAAUUAAUACACUACCACACACAAAGGGGAGGCAAGUCGUAACAUGGUAAGUGUACCGGAAGGUGCACUUGGAAAAAUCAGAAU